AACGAGAGUUUGAUCCUGGCUCAGAAUCAACGCUGGCGGCGUGCCUAACACAUGCAAGUCGAACGAGAAAGUUCGGGUGUAGCAAUACAUCCGGGUGAGUAAAGUGGCGCACGGGUGAGUAACACGUAGCUAACCUACCCUCGAGUGGGGGAUAACCUGGGGAAACCCGGGCUAAUACCGCAUAACUUCCCGGUGGCACAAGUCGCUGGGAUCAAAGGCCCGCAAGGGUCGCUAGUGGAGGGGGCUGCGGCCGAUUAGCUAGUUGGCGGGGUAACGGCCCACCAAGGCGAUGAUCGGUAGCCGGCCUGAGAGGGCGCACGGCCACACUGGCACUGAAACACGGGCCAGACUCCUACGGGAGGCAGCAGUGGGGAAUUUUGCACAAUGCCCGAAAGGGUGAUGCAGCAACGCCGCGUGAGGGAUGAAGGCCUUCGGGUCGUAAACCUCUUUCGACCGGGAAAAACG
This 465-nucleotide ribosomal RNA is filed under the name Acidobacteriota bacterium. RNAcentral describes it as "bacterial SSU rRNA". It matches the Rfam family "Bacterial small subunit ribosomal RNA", at positions 1 to 451 of the family's 1533-position model. The record is from RNAcentral. Lineage: Bacteria; Pseudomonadati; Acidobacteriota.